This 321-nucleotide unclassified non-coding RNA is filed under the name uncultured fungus. Its description in RNAcentral is "partial contains small subunit ribosomal RNA, internal transcribed spacer 1, and 5.8S ribosomal RNA". The stretch from base 1 to 73 matches the Rfam family "Eukaryotic small subunit ribosomal RNA", at positions 1759 to 1831 of the family's 1831-position model. The record is from RNAcentral. Lineage: Eukaryota; Fungi.
GCAAACUUGGUCAUUUAGAGGAAGUAAAAGUCGUAACAAGGUUUCCGUAGGUGAACCUGCGGAAGGAUCAUUAUCGAAAACAAACCCAGCUGAGGGCUGUCGCUGGCCUCUUGAGGCAUGUGCACGCCCUUCAACUGAUCAUCCAUCUUACCCCUUGUGCACCUUUGCGCAGAGUCCUUGGUUCCUUUGUUGGUCCCUUAGGGCUUGCGCUUUUUAUACAAACUUUGACGUAUGUUUUUGAAUGUCUUGUACGAUGAUAAUGUACACAAUACAACUUUCAACAACGGAUCUCUUGGCUCUCGCAUCGAUGAAGAACGCAGC